CACACGAAGCUGGAAUCGCUAGUAAUCGCGAAUCAGAAUGUCGCGGUGAAUACGUUCCCGGGUCUUGUACACACCGCCCGUCACACCAUGGGAGUCAGCAACGCCCAAAGUCAGUGACCUAACCGAAAGGAAGGAGCUGCCGAAGGCGGGGCCGGUAACUGGGGUGAAGUCGUAACAAGGUAUC
This 184-nucleotide ribosomal RNA is filed under the name uncultured bacterium. RNAcentral describes it as "partial 16S ribosomal RNA". It matches the Rfam family "Bacterial small subunit ribosomal RNA", at positions 1317 to 1500 of the family's 1533-position model. The record is from RNAcentral.